AUACGGAGGGGGUUAGCGUUGUUCGGAAUUACUGGGCGUAAAGCGUACGUAGGCGGAUUAGUAAGUUAGGGGUGAAAUCCCGAGGCUCAACCUCGGAACUGCCUCUAAAACUGCUAGUCUUGAGUUCGAGAGAGGUGAGUGGAAUUCCUAGUGUAGAGGUGAAAUUCGUAGAUAUUAGGAGGAACACCAGUGGCGAAGGCGGCUCACUGGCUCGAUACUGACGCUGAGGUACGAAAGUGUGGGGAGCAAACAGCAUUAGAAACCCCAGUAGUCC
RNAcentral lists this ribosomal RNA (274 nucleotides) under uncultured bacterium. RNAcentral describes it as "partial 16S ribosomal RNA". It matches the Rfam family "Bacterial small subunit ribosomal RNA", at positions 523 to 796 of the family's 1533-position model. The record is from RNAcentral.